AGUCGAGCGGUAACAGGUGUAGCAAUACAUGCUGACGAGCGGCGGACGGGUGAGUAACGCUUGGGAAUCUGCCUGUUAGUGGGGGACAACCCGGGGAAACUCGGGCUAAUACCGCAUACGCACUAUGGUGGAAAGCCGGGGACCGCAAGGCCUGGCGCUAACAGAUGAGCCCAAGUCGGAUUAGCUAGUUGGUAGGGUAACGGCCUACCAAGGCGACGAUCCGUAACUGGUCUGAGAGGACGACCAGUCACACCGGAACUGAGACACGGUCCGGACUCCUACGGGAGGCAGCAGUGGGGAAUAUUGGACAAUGGGGGCAACCCUGAUCCAGCGACGCCGCGUGGGUGAAGAAGGCCUGCGGGUUGUAAAGCCCUUUCGGUUGGGAAGAAAAGUUGCGGUCUAACACACUGCGACCUUGACGUAACCAACUAAAGAAGCACCGGCUAACUCUGUGCCAGCAGCCGCGGUAAUACAGAGGGUGCGAGCGUUAAUCGGAAUUACUGGGCGUAAAGCGCGCGUAGGCGGCUUUUCAAGUCGAUUGUGAAAUCCCCGGGCUCAACCUGGGAACUGCAGUCGAGACUGUCUAGCUAGAGUAUGGGAGAGGGAGGUGGAAUUUCAGGUGUAGCGGUGAAAUGCGUAGAUAUCUGAAGGAACAUCAGUGGCGAAAGCGACUUCCUGGACCAAUACUGACGCUCAUGUGCGAAAGCGUGGGGAGCAAACAGGAUUAGAUACCCUGGUAGUCCACGCCAUAAACGAUGAGAACUGGAUGUCGGAGGGGUCUGCCCUUCGGUGUCGUAGCUAACGCGUUAAGU
RNAcentral lists this ribosomal RNA (812 nucleotides) under uncultured Pseudomonadota bacterium. Its description in RNAcentral is "bacterial SSU rRNA". It matches the Rfam family "Bacterial small subunit ribosomal RNA", at positions 60 to 865 of the family's 1533-position model. Lineage: Bacteria; Pseudomonadati; Pseudomonadota. The record is from RNAcentral.